UGCCACAAUUAUUGGACUUACUUCAUGC
This 28-nucleotide non-coding RNA is filed under the name Mus musculus (house mouse). Lineage: Eukaryota; Metazoa; Chordata; Mammalia; Rodentia; Muridae. The record is from RNAcentral.